RNAcentral lists this ribosomal RNA (207 nucleotides) under uncultured bacterium. RNAcentral describes it as "partial 16S ribosomal RNA". It matches the Rfam family "Bacterial small subunit ribosomal RNA", at positions 568 to 774 of the family's 1533-position model. The record is from RNAcentral.
CGCGUAGGCGGCCUGGUCAGUCGGAUGUGAAAGCCCCAGGCUUAACCUGGGAAUUGCAUUCGAUACUGCCAGGCUGGAGUGUAGUAGAGGGAAGCGGAAUUCCGGGUGUAGCGGUGAAAUGCGUAGAGAUCCGGAGGAACAUCAGUGGCGAAGGCGGCUUCCUGGACUAACACUGACGCUGAGGUGCGAAAGCGUGGGGAGCAAACA